Molecule: non-coding RNA, 4784 nt
Organism: Camelina sativa (false flax)
Lineage: Eukaryota; Viridiplantae; Streptophyta; Magnoliopsida; Brassicales; Brassicaceae
Source: RefSeq, a predicted model, not a curated record
UGAUGAUAAUUAUCAUCUAAACUUAUGUUAUAACGAAAUGCAUCAUUCACCAUAUCCACAUAUCUAUCUCCUACCACAUUACCCACUUCUUCAUUCCCACUUACAAACGUCGGAUCUACAUAACUCGUUCCUAUGCCCAUAUUAAUUUCUUCCCCAUGUUUAUACCAAACAUAAUAAUCUGGCAUAAACCCAUAGCAAAAAAUAUGAUUCCAAAUUGUACCCCCUGGAAGACGCCUACCGUUUUUGCACUUAUCACAAGGGCAGUGAAACUUACCACCAUUAUUUUGUGCUAAACGCUGACUAUUUGCAAAAGCCAUGAACUCUUCUACCCCGGUGCUGAACUCUUCCGUGAAAUUUCCCGUCACUUCAUCAAGCCUCUUAUACAUCCACUCCCGAAAAUGACUAUAAUUAGAACUUCCCGCCAUUAUUAAAGAUCUCUCACUCUCGUUUUUUUUUUCUCUCUCGAUUUUUUUUUCUCACUCUAGAUUUUAUUUUUCUCACUCUCGAUUUCUUUCUUAUUGAUGCUCUUGCUUGUGGUGUGAAUGAAAUAAGAAACGAAGGUCUGGUAUAUAUAGAGUGUUUUGGCGACUACUUACCGACUAUUAAAAGACUGUAAAGUGACUCAAACUAACAGUCGCAAAAAAACAAAGCUUACCAACCUCACAAACGAAUAAAACGUGUUUAUUUUUGGCCGAAAUGUUUACGACUCACCUCAUUAGUCGGUUAGUAGUCACCAAAUGGCCGACUAACAGUUGUAGUCGUAUGUUAGUAGGCAAAUUAACGACUGGCCGCAGUAGUCCCCAUGUAGUCGCCAAAUUAGCUACUAUUAGCUGACGAAUUUACUUUCUUCUCUUUCAGUCGUAAAGUUGUUGCUAAUUAAUGACUGUUGAACCAGCUACUCAUUUCAGUCGGUAAAAACCGACUAAUUUACGACUAAUAGUCAGCAGUUGUAAAAUAGUGAUUAAGCAGUCAUUAUAUAGUCACUAAAUUUGGCGACUACGGGUUUAGUCGCCAAUCGUAGUCGUAAAUGUCCUGUUUUCUUGUAGUGAUCCUCUCAAGAUGAAAUCUGAUUUAUUUCAAAUAUUUGUCUUGUUUCAAAAGAUGGUGGAGAAUCAGUUUGAAAUGCAGAAUCAAAGGGUUUCAAUGUGAUGGAGGAGGAGAGUUCAUUAGUACUCAAUUUCUGAAACAUUUACAAGAAAAUGGAAUACAACAAUUCAUCUCUUGUCCUCACACACCUCAGCAAAAUGGUUUAGCUGAACGCAAGCAUAGGCAUGUCACUGAAUUAGGUAUGCCAAUGUUGUUUCAGAGUAAGACUCCUCUAAAGUAUUGGGUGGAAGCUUUUUACACAGCCAAUUUCCUGAUCAAUCUCUUACCAACAUCAUCUCUGGAAGAUUCAAUCUCACCCUACGAGAAAUUGAUUAACAAGAAACCUAUCUAUACGGCUUUAAGGUCAUUUGGUUGUGCGUGUUUUACAACAUUACGUGAUUAUGCUUCUACAAAGAUGGAUCCAAAAUCUCUGCAGUGUGUGUUUCUUGGCUAUAACGAGAAAUACUAAGGGUAUAGAUGCUUGUAUCCUCCUACUGGAAGGGUUUAUAUUAGUAGACAUGUUAUUUUUGAUGAAGCCACUUAUCCCUUCUCAACAGUCUACAGAGAUCUUCAACCGGAAACAGUCACACCAUUGAUGUCCGCUUGGCACAAAAGCUUCAUACCGGCUAGUGCAGGUACAGAACAACACUCUGCUCCACCGGUUCCAAAUAUCUCACUGUCAUCAGGCAAUUCUCCAGUUCAAGAAGUUUUAAGUACACUUGUGAAUGAGGAAUGUCCUGAGCGUACGACAGGCCUUGAUUCUGAAUCUAUAGGCGACAACAUUCUUCAAUCGCAAGCGAGUACUCAAACAGUGCCACUAACUGAGUUUACUGAGAGUGAUGAUGAAGAAGAGACCGCUCCCAUUACUAAUGCACAUCCAAUGGUUACUAGAGGCAAAGAUGGUAUCCGCAAACCAAAUCCAAGAUAUGCAUUAAUGUAUCACAAGGUCUCUUACCCGGAGCCGAAAACUGUCACCGCAGCAUUGAAAGACGCAUGAUGGACUGGAGCAAUGGGGGAAGAAAUGUACACCUGCAAAGAGGUAAACACCUGGUCUCUUGUGCCUCCAAAACCGGAUAUGCAUAUAUUAGGAAGCAAGUGGGUUUUUCGUACCAAGUUAAAUGCUGAUGGUACUUUGAACAAGCUUAAAGCACGUUUAGUCGCACAAGGAUAUGAUCAAGAGGAAGGAAUAGACUACUUGGAAACCUUUAGUCCCGUAGUUCAAACUCCUACAAUGCGAAUGUUUUCCAUGUUGCAGUCAGUAAUAACUGGGAGUUGAAGCAAAUGGAUGUUCAUAAUGCUUUUCUCCAUGGAGAUCUUGAAGAAACAGUUUAUAUGAAGCAGCCUAUUGUUUCGAAAAGUUCUACUGAAGCAGAAUAUAGGAGCAUGUCUGAAACGGCCUCAGAAAUCAAAUGGAUGAGCUCUGUCUUACGGGAUCUCAAUGUUCCUUUGCACACGACUCCUGAGCUUUACUGUGACAACUUCUCGGCAGUGUACUUAACAGCGAAUCCAGCUUUUCAUGCUCGUACAAAGCAUUUUGAUGUUGAUCAUCACUAUGUUCGAGAACGUGUGGCUUUGAAGACACUAACCGUGAGACACAUUCCAGGUCACUUGAAAACAGCGGAUAUCUUCACUAAAUCGCUUCCUUACGAUGCUUUUGCUCGUUUGAGAUUCAAACUUGGUGUUGGUUUACCACCUACACAAAGUUUGCGGGAGGGGGGGAUGAUAACAUAACAACAACAAAACAAGAGUUUUUGGUUCCUGCUCAAAAUGGUGUCGCUUGGGAAAAGGAAGUAAUGGGCCAGACCAAUCUGAUGAAGCCCACCAAGACUCAUUCAUCUCCUCCAACGGUACUAUCGCUAGAAGACAAAAAAACGAGGCAAACAACCAGUCAUUGAAGACUAUACGGAGAUCAAGCUGUCAAACCGCUUCACCACCCUCGAUCCAUCAAGCUCAAGAGGAUUGUGACAUCUGGCAGAAUACUCUAGAGCAAUCCAUAAGGCAUCUAGGAUUUAUGGGGUUUAUGGUUCUUUAGUAUAAAUAAGAUUGUAAAGAUACUCUUGAAGGUUAAGCAAUGAGAAAUUAAAAGCUUCAAUCUUGUUAAAGUGUUCUUACUUUCACGGUGGAACAACGACUAAAGAACAAGAAAGUUCUUAUCGUUGUUGAUGAUGUUGAUGAUCUAGAGCUACUAAAAACGUUGGUUGGACGAAUCAGGUGGUUUGGAUCAGGGAGCAGAAUCGUUGUGAUUACUCAAAAAAGGGAACUUCUCAGGGCUCACAAGAUUCAACAAGUUUAUGAUGUGGAAUUCCCAUCAGAUGAACUGGCUCUUCAAAUGUUUUGUCGAUAUGAUUUCGAGAAAAACUCUCCGCAUCAUGGUUUCAGCAACCUCGCACUUGAAGCGGCAAAGCUUGCGGGUAAUCGUCCAAAAGCUCUCAAGCACUUCGGCCUGUCUUUUAGAAGGAUAUUGGACAAGGAAGAGUGGGUGAAGAUGCUAUCGGAGUUUCGUAGUGAGAGUAACCUAAAAAUCAGAUAUGAUGGGUUAGAUGGCAAAGAUCAAGAUUACAUUGCGUGUUUAACUAAUGGUUCAAAUUCCCAGCCUCAAAGAUACAUGGACGCAAGCUCAAGUGUUUUACAAGUGAAAGCAGAGUGGAUCCACUUAGCACUAGGCGUGUCUAUGUUACUUAACAUCCGCAGUGACGGAACGAGAGAUCUCAAACAUUUGAGCUACAAGUAAUUCGUAGAGUGGCCCAACAAGUAGAAGCAUGGUGGUCGGAGAAUUGUGCAAGAGUGUGCAAGAAGUAUAAUAUUAUAUGUGGCAUGGAUAGAUCAACUGGUGGUGGUGGUAAUUUUGAGGAAAGACAUAAAGUCUGCUACGUUGGGUUAGACCCCAACGGGAAAGAUCAAGCUAUGUAUGCAGGUUUAAUGUAUGGGGAAUCUUCGAAUUCCCAAUUUCAAAGAAACAUGGACGCAAGCCAGUAAUGAAUUCUCAAAAGAUUUACAAAGCUCAACAUCCAUAAUGAAAGCUUUUCAAGUGGAGGAGGACAAGACCGAGUACUGUGAACCAGAUUUAAGGUAUGGAAAAGUUCAAAUUCCGAGCUUCAAAGAAACAUGGAAGCAAGCAAUAUGAGAAAUGAACCUGUGAGUGAGAUGCUUUUCAAAAAUUACGGUGCGCAUUUGCCAAAUGGUAUAACGGAUGGAAAAUGUUCAAAUCCCCAGUCUCAAAAAAAACUGGACGCAAACCUCCGAAGAGAAAAAAUUGUGCAUCACUGGAUUCUAACCAGUAGGGACUUCUCAUUUGAUUUUCAGGGGCCAACAUCUAUAGUGAGUGCUUCUCAAGUGGAGGGGAAAAAGAUCGAGUGUGAAGAAGGCGUGUAUAUAACACUUGGCAUCCUCAGUGGCAGAAUCGUAGUUCUCAAACGUUUGGAGUUCAGCCGAAGAGUGGCGCAACAAGCAAAAGUUUGGUGGUGGGAAAAUUGGAUAAAUGUGUACGAGAAGUACAACAUAAGUGGCAUAGAUAAAUCAUUUGAUGGUAGAUUUAAUGGUUAAAAACAAACUGAAGCUUAGCCUGGCCCUAAAAAGAUUCAGGACAGAGAGCUAGAUAUUGAUGCCUAAAAGGCUAAAACUGAUCAGGUCUACGGGAAGUCCAUUUACUGCAUGCAUGGCUUCAACACUAUUUUAAAUCGUUUGAUCACUUAUCUUUC